AGAGUUUGAUCCUGGCUCAGGAUGAACGCUGGCGGCGUGCUUAACACAUGCAAGUCGAACGAACCUUCGGGUUAGUGGCGGACGGGUGAGUAACGCGUGGGAAUCUGCCCUCAGGAGGGGGAUAACGGCUGGAAACGGCCGCUAAUACCCCAUAUGCCGAGAGGUGAAAUGAAUUUCGCCUGAGGAUGAGCCCGCGUCUGAUUAGCUAGUUGGUGAGGUAAGAGCUCACCAAGGCAUCGAUCAGUAGCUGGUCUGAGAGGAUGAUCAGCCACACUGGGACUGAGACACGGCCCAGACUCCUACGGGAGGCAGCAGUGGGGAAUUUUCCGCAAUGGGCGAAAGCCUGACGGAGCAACGCCGCGUGAGGGAUGAAGGCCUCUGGGCUGUAAACCUCUUUUCUCAAGGAAGAAGAUCUGACGGUACUUGAGGAAUAAGCCACGGCUAAUUCCGUGCCAGCAGCCGCGGUAAUACGGGAGUGGCAAGCGUUAUCCGGAAUUAUUGGGCGUAAAGCGUCCGCAGGCGGCCUUUCAAGUCUGCUGUUAAAACGUGGAGCUUAACUCCAUCAUGGCAGUGGAAACUGUUGGGCUUGAGUGUGGUAGGGGCAGAGGGAAUUCCCGGUGUAGCGGUGAAAUGCGUAGAUAUCGGGAAGAACACCAGUGGCGAAAGCGCUCUGCUGGGCCAUAACUGACGCUCAUGGACGAAAGCCAGGGAGCGAAAGGAUUAGAUACCCCUGUAGUCCUGUCGUAAACGAUGACACUAGUGUCGGGGAUCGACCCCCUCGUGUCGUAGCACGCGUAGUGUCGCUGGGAGUACGCACGCAGUGUGAACUCAAGAUUGACGGGGCCGCACAGCGUGAGUAUGUGUUAAUCAUGCACGCGAGACUACUAGUUGAAUCUGCGAUCUCUGAACAAAAAUGCUCGGACCAGACAGAGUGCAUGCGCUCACUCAGUCUGAAGUUGUAGUCGACAGAACCAGCUAUGCAUCAUGGACUGAGACCGUACGAAGUA
RNAcentral lists this ribosomal RNA (1007 nucleotides) under uncultured bacterium. RNAcentral describes it as "bacterial SSU rRNA". The stretch from base 2 to 805 matches the Rfam family "Bacterial small subunit ribosomal RNA", at positions 9 to 873 of the family's 1533-position model. The record is from RNAcentral.